CGUUGAAACAGUGGUUCUUGUACGAUCAGCGAAGUUAAGUAACAUCGAGCCUAGUCAGUACCUUGAUGGGUGACCGCUUGGGAAGACCAGAUAUUGCAAG
Acanthosepion pharaonis is the source of this 100-nucleotide non-coding RNA. NCBI's taxonomy places the organism in Eukaryota, Metazoa, Mollusca, Cephalopoda, Sepiida, Sepiidae. The record is from the annotation of a GenBank genome assembly.